RNAcentral lists this transfer RNA (72 nucleotides) under Camelus dromedarius (Arabian camel). It matches the Rfam family "tRNA". Rfam says of the family: Transfer RNA (tRNA) molecules are approximately 80 nucleotides in length. Their secondary structure includes four short double-helical elements and three loops (D, anti-codon, and T loops). Lineage: Eukaryota; Metazoa; Chordata; Mammalia; Artiodactyla; Camelidae. RNAcentral also lists the same sequence under 1 other name. The record is from Rfam by way of RNAcentral.
GUGGGAAUAGCUCAGUUGUAGAGUGCCUGCUUAGCAUGCACGAGGUCCUGGGUUCAAUCCCCAGUACCUCCA